CCUACGGGUGGCAGCAGUGAGGAAUAUUGGUCAAUGGGCGCGAGCCUGAACCAGCCAAGUAGCGUGAAGGAUGACUGCCCUACGGGUUGUAAACUUCUUUUAUAAAGGAAUAAAGUGAGGCACGUGUGCCUCUUUGUAUGUACUUUAUGAUGAAGGAUCGGCUAACGCCGUGCCAGCAGCCGCGGUAAUACGGAGGAUCCGAGCGUUAUCCGGAGUUAUUGGGUUUAAAGGGAGCGUAGAUGGGUUGGUAAGUCAGUUGUGAAAGUUUGCGGCUCAACCGUAAGAUUGCAAUUGAAACUGGCAGUCUAGAGUACAGAUGAGGAAGGCGGAAUUCGUGGUGUAGCGGUGAAAUGCGUAGAUAUCACGAAGAACUCCGAUUGCGAAGGCAGCUUACUA
RNAcentral lists this ribosomal RNA (396 nucleotides) under uncultured bacterium. Its description in RNAcentral is "partial 16S ribosomal RNA". It matches the Rfam family "Bacterial small subunit ribosomal RNA", at positions 338 to 731 of the family's 1533-position model. The record is from RNAcentral.